Molecule: RNA transcript, 7210 nt
Organism: Paramisgurnus dabryanus
Lineage: Eukaryota; Metazoa; Chordata; Actinopteri; Cypriniformes; Cobitidae
Source: RefSeq, a predicted model, not a curated record
GUGUCAACUAACCAACAUCGUUGCCUGGGUUGCAUAUGUGUGGGGCUGGUCUACCAAAGAAGGUCCAGAUUCUAUUGGGGUAAGGGUGUGUUUGUUUAGGUGAUUUCAAAAGUCCAUAUUGGCUUUUAGAGAUCAUGGCCCCCACCUUUAAUGUAACAGUAAAUUAUUAGUAAUAGAAGAAAUAUCUUUCCAUCUGCAAUGAUAUGUGUUCUGUAUUAGUGUGUUCUGUGUUAAUGUGUUACUCCUCCUUCUCCCCCUAGUGGAUACUAAAGAAAUUACAGUCACAUUUGUUCUGUGGCUUCUUUUAAUGACAUCAUCAGGAAGUGCCCAGUAAUGUCUUCAGUUAGCAGCUUCUGGUAUUUCAGAACCAGUCUAAGUCCAUCUGCUCACAUUUUAAGCUAUAAACGAGCAUCGUUGGUAUGUAAAUGUUCUUUAACAUGUCAUCUAUCUAUGCAGAGGAAUAUUUUCAUGUAAGAUGAGAUAUGUUAUUAAAAAUAGAUUUCCGGGUGUUCAUUUAUCCCGGCUGUGGCAUAAAUAGAAUAGUCUGAGCAAACUUAUGACUAAAUCCUUUAAAUAGUUAUUUCAUUGUGUAAAAUGACAAGUUGUGCUAGUAUUGUUUAAAACGUGAACAGACUUAAUGUGAAGAUUUAGUACUCAUUUAUGUAUAUUUUUGGUUUCAGUUUUACCCUACUUUUGUCAUCAUUAAAGAAGUGAAUGAUUCAUCUUCGUCCGGUGUGGUGAUUAGAAGAGGAGUUAAACUAUCUGUCAAUUUACACAAAGGGCUGUAAUAAGGACGGAACAGUAAAACAACGCCUCAUAAGCGAGCUGAUAUACAGCAGAUCUGGACCCCGCACGCUGCAGUUCUGAAAUAAAGGUAGCCAGCAUACACAAUGUCCCAAGACGAUGCAAAAUCAAGGGGCUCAUGGAUCACCAGAUCUCAAGCUUCCCGCACAUCCAGUCGCCAUAGCAGAUCUAGUGCAGCCGCAGCUAUGGCACGCGCAGAAGCGGAAGCAGCCAGAGCAAAAGUAGCAUAUGCUGAAAAGGAGAUGCAAAUCAAAAUUCAAAAAGCACAAUUGGAAGCAUCAUUGGAGAAACUGAAUGCAGAAAAGACAGCAGCUGCGGCCGUAGCCAAAGCAGAGGUUUUGGAGGCUGCUCUGGAGUUUGAGAAUGAUGGGUAUUGCUCCAAGCUAAAGUGUGGAUCGGAACAGCGAUCUUACAACCCCAUACAAAUGACUGAAGAGUAUGUACAAAAACAUAGUAUAUUGGACAGCAGUCUAAACCCAGAGUCACAACUACAGGGUUUCCCUACUUACACCCAACCUCAGCAUACACCCCCUCCGCAAGUGCCUACAACACUCACUUAUCAACCCACGCAGCUCAAGCCUGAAAGGAAUGAAGACCCACAGACUGAAACACACCAUUCUCCAAAAUGUUCUACCACAAUAAGCAAGAACCCCGCACAUGCACAAAUAGGAGAUGGAAAACACACUGAGUACUGGGGUCACAAAACGUAUGACAGCUAUCACCCUCCAUUAGCCACACCUAUAAAUACGCACCAACCAGCAUAUCAUGAUAGUCACAUAGGGGCUUAUGACGGCCGUCACUACCCGCCAAGUACGUCUGUCCACAGCGAACUACGAGACAAUGUGUUCAGAGGUUCGUCUGAUGAAAAUAAAAAUGUGACAGACUUUGUAAGCUUUCUUGCCAGACGAGAGCUGGUUUCAACAGGACUGUUGAAGUUCGAUGAUAAACCUGGAAACUACAGGGCAUGGAAGGCGUCUUUCCUGAACACUGUCAGAGGCCUCAAUCUUAGUGCAAAAGAAGAAAUAGAUUUGUUAGUAAAGUGGCUGGGGCCAGAGUCAGCAGAACAUGCGAAACGCUUGAGAGCUGUACACGUCAAUGACCCAGAAAAGGGGCUGUUAGUUGUGUGGGAGAGACUGGAAGAGUGCUAUGGUGCACCCGAAGUCAUUGAGGACGCACUAUGGAAGAGACUAGAUAACUUUCCAAGGAUUUCAAACAAAGACAAUCAGAAACUCAGGGAGCUCGCAGACUUGCUGACCGAGCUACAAGCUGUAAAAUCGGAAGGUGAACUCCCAGGCCUUGCAUAUCUAGACACAGCACGCGGUAUAAGCAAUAUCGUACAGAAGCUACCGUUUGCUUUGCAAGAAAGAUGGAUGACACAAGGCUCCAGCUACAAAGACAGCUACAGAGUUGCCUUCCCUCCAUUCUCUUUCUUUGUCAACUUUGUCUCCCAACAAGCAAGGACACGUAACGACCCAAGUUUCAUGUUUGUUCCUUGUACUGGAGAUCAGACCAAGACAGACAAAUAUACAAAUAAAAACAUGAGCUACCGUACUCCCGUAUCAGUCCAUAAAACUGACAUCUCAUCAGCCUCAGCUACUGCAACUGACCCUACACACACAAAGAUAGAAGACCCAGCAAAGACAUGUCCUAUUCAUAAGAAGCCCCACCCCCUUUACAAAUGCCGUGCGUUCAGAGAGAGACCCCUCGAGGAGAGAAAAGCCCUUUUGAAACAAAUUGGCAUCUGUUUUCAUUGUUGUGCGUCAACAUCUCAUUUCGCGAAGAACUGUGUAAAGAAUGUUAGAUGCACAGAGUGUGACGACGACAAACACCAUUCGAUCCUACACCCAGGGCCCGCUCCAUGGUCCAUCAAGACCCUAAAACUUACACACGAGCAUGGCGGGGAGGAUGAGAUCGUCGGUCCAAACGUUGCAGUGACUUCAAAGUGUACAGAAGUUUGUGGCGGAGACACGACUGAAAGAUCCUGUUCUAAGAUUUGUUUGGUCAGAGUCUUCCCUACCGGCCAAAAGGAGAAAGCAGUGGAGCUGUACAUCAUAUUGGAUGAACAGAGUAAUCGGUCCCUGGUAAGAUCGGAAUUCUUCGAGCUCUUCAAUGUUAAAGGCGACCGCUCUCCAUAUUCCCUCAGGACAUGUGCGGGCAUAGUGGAGAAGUCAGGGAGAAGAGCACACGGCUUCCAGGUACAGUCUUUGGAUGAGAAAGUCACUCUCUCCCUCCCUACUCUGAUAGAGUGCAAUCAAAUUCCCAACAACCGAUCUGAAAUUCCCACUCCAGAGGUAGCUGUCCAGCACACGCACCUAAAAUGUAUCGCAAAACAGAUUCCAACUUUACAUACCCAGGCACCCAUAAUGUUGCUGCUUGGCAGAGACCUCAUCAGAGUCCACAAAGUGCGUAAACAAAUUAAUGGCCCACACAACUCUCCAUACGCACAAAAGCUCGACUUGGGCUGGGUUAUAGUGGGCAGUGUCUGCCUUGGUAAAGUCCACAAACCAGACGUAGUGAACACCUUCUACACUAACACACUGGAGAAUGGACGAGCAUCCCUCUUCAAACCAUGCCCCAACCGCUACUUUGUGAAAGAAAUACAUGACAACACUGGGUCUCUCAUCUGCAAGGACCACAUAGGAUGCGCUGUUUUUCAGAGAUCCAAAGAUGACGACAAAAUUGCACCUUCAUUUGAAGACGCAGCGUUUCUGAACAUCAUGGAACUAGGGUUUUACAAAGAUAAAGAUAACAGUUGGACAGCUCCCUUACCUUUUAAGAUACCGAGACGCCACCUGCCCAACAACAAGGUUCAAGCUCUUAACCGUUUCAGAUCGCUGCAGCGGUCCUUUAACAGAAAACCAGAGCUGAAGGAGCACUUCUUCGCAUUUAUGCAAAAGAUAUUUCAAAAUGGACAUGCAGAAGAAGCCCCCAUGCUCGAACCUGAGGAGGAGUGCUGGUAUCUACCUAUUUUUGGGGUGUAUCACCCUAAAAAACCUGGGCAGAUCAGAGCAGUUUUUGACUCAAGUGCUAAGCACAACGGCGUUUCUCUUAAUGAUGUUCUCCUGACUGGUCCCGACCUUAAUAAUAACCUCCUGGGCGUGCUGCUUCGUUUCCGUCAGGACUCCAUUGCCAUCACAGCGGACAUCCAGCAGAUGUUCCACUGCUUCCUUGUCAGACCAGACCACAGGAACUUCUUACGUUUUCUGUGGUAUCAAGACAACGACUUUAACAAAGACAUCAAGGAAUAUAGAAUGCGCGUGCAUGUUUUUGGCAACAGUCCUUCACCGGCUGUUGCUAUCUUUGGAUUGAGGAAGACAGCACAAGAGGGAGAGGAGACCUUUGGAAGAGAUGUUAGAAGAUUCGUGGAGAGGAACUUCUACGUAGAUGAUGCAUUAAAAUCUCUACCUUCAGCUCCAGCUGCUAUCGAUCUGCUCAAAAGAGCACAGCAGAUGCUGGCAUGUUCCAACCUCAGGCUGCAUAAGAUCGCGUCAAACAAUGCAGAAGUCAUGGCAGCCUUCCCCUCAGACGACCAUGCCAGCAACCUAAAGGAUCUAGAUCCGGAAGCCGGUGAUCUCCCCAUGCAACGAAGUUUAGGUGUCAGUUGGGAUCUGAAGAAUGACACAUUUACAUUUCAGGUGUCUGAUGAACACAAACCUUUUACACGACGUGGAGUCUUGUCAACCAUUAACAGCCUGUAUGACCCCUUGGGAUUCGUCGCCCCGAUCUUGUUGCAGGGGAAAGCCAUACUUCGAGAAUUAACAGUUGACUGUCAUGACUGGGACGCACCGCUACCUGCCGAGAAAGAGCAGCUAUGGACAGCAUGGAGAGGAUCACUCCAAGAGCUCAUAAACCUACAGAUACCUAGGUCCUAUACAAAGGUCUCUCCAUCCACAGCCCAACGCAGAGAGCUCUGCAUUUUCUCGGAUGCAUCAGUCAAGUCAGUAGCAGCUGUGGCCUACUUAAGGCUCUUUGAUCAAGAUGGAAGCUUUCACGUAAGCUUUGUUUUUGGCAAAGCAAAACUAGCCCCUCGACCGGAAUUGACUAUUCCGCGGUUGGAACUAUGUGCUGCCGUGUUAGCAGUGGACAUCGCAGAGUUCAUUACUGCUGAGCUGGACAUUCAGCUAGAUGACAUCAGCUAUUUCACGGACAGUAAGGUAGUGUUGGGCUACAUCUACAAUGAAAAGCGCCGGUUCUAUGUCUUCGUGAACAACAGAGUGCAGCGGAUAAGAAGGUUUUCCAGCCCCACACAGUGGCACUUUGUAUCAACGGACAAUAAUCCUGCUGAUCAUGCAACGAGAUUCAUCUCAGCAGCACGCCUCAAAGACACCAUGUGGCUCACAGGUCCAGCUUUCCUGUCGCAGCCCCAGCAAAUGCACCUCCGACAGGGCACCUUUGACCUAGUGAAUCCGGAACAGGACGUAGAUGUCCGCCUUCUUGUAUAUACUCUGAGCACUACUGUCAGGGAAAGACUGCUUGGGUCCCAACGGUUUUGUCGUUUCUCAAGCUGGAAGUCGCUCACCCGUGCCAUUUCAUGUCUUACCCAUAUAGUCCUCCUCUACAAGAAGAAUACAGAAGGUUCUCGUGAUGGUUGCAAUGGAUGGCAUCACUGCGCCCAAGGUCACACGGUAGAGAUGCUCACCAAGGCCCAAAACACAAUCAUACGUACAGUUCAAGAGGAGACUUAUGCAAAAGAGCUGCAGUGUAUCAGGGAUCAAAUAUCUCUUCCACAGGACAGUCUCAUCAGAGCUCUGAGCCCUUUCAUUGACACGGAUGGUCUCAUUAGAGUGGGUGGACGUAUCACAGAGGCUAGUUUGGGAUAUGAGGAGAAGCAACCUAUAAUAGUUCCUGGUCGCCACCACAUUGCCACUCUUCUUGUGCGCUAUUAUCAUGAACAGACUCAACAUCAGGGACGCCUCUUUACAGAGGGUGCCAUUCGUUCUGCAGGCUUGUGGAUUGUGGGUGGAAAAAGGUGUGUGAACAGUCUCAUUUUCAGAUGUGUCACUUGUCGUAGACUCCGUCGCACCUGCGAAACUCAGAAAAUGGCCGACUUACCUGACUGCCGCCUUAACAUGGAUCCUCCAUUUUCAUAUGUGGGACUCGAUGUCUUUGGACCAUGGUCAGUCUCGUCACGACGCACACGGGGAGGUCAAGCAGACAGUAAAAGAUGGGCGGUCUUGUUCUGCUGUCUAAGCAUUCGUGCCAUCCACAUCGAAAUCAUCGAAUCUAUGGACACAUCUUCUUUUAUCAAUGCCUUGAGAAGGUUCAUCGCAAUUCGUGGACCGGUCAAACAGCUACGCUCAGACAGGGGAACCAACUUUGUCGGAGCCUGUCAUGAGCUAUUGAUUCCUUCCAACAUCAAUAAAAAAGUGGAGAGAUUUCUUACGGAUCAAGGUUGCAUGUGGGAGUUUAACCCCCCUCACGCCUCCCAUAUGGGCGGGGCCUGGGAAAGGAUGAUAGGGCUGACCCGCAAGAUCUUGGACUCAAUGUUCUUACAGCUGGGGUCUUCAAGAAUCACCCACGAGGUCCUAGUCACCUUGAUGGCUGAAGUGACAGCCAUUGUAAAUUCCAGACCGCUCAUACCAGUGUCUACAGAUCCAGAUGAUCCAUUUAUACUUACCCCUGCGACUCUGUUAACACAAAAAACUGGCCCCUCUCUUGCACCUCCAGGCGACUUCGAUGGCAAAGACUUGUACAGACGUCAGUGGAGACAGGUACAAAGUCUUGCCAACACCUUCUGGGACAAAUGGAGGAAACAAUACCUGUCCACUCUGCAGACGAGAAGGAAGUGGCAGUCUGACAAGCCAAAUCUCACUAAAGGGAGUUUAGUGCUCAUCAAAGUCAAUCAAGCCAAAAGAAACACAUGGCCUAUAGGGCGUAUCACAGAAGUGUUUCCCAGCAAGGAUGGCAGAGUUCGCAAAGUGGAAGUGAAGGUAGCACAUCCAGAUGGGGUUAAAGUGUACCUGAGGCCAGUUACAGAGUUGGUCCUCCUCUUACCAUCCGAAGACUAGACUAUGCCUGCCCUUUCAGACAUGUAUGAUAGAUUAAGUAAUGGUAUCCAGGGACACCAGACGGGGAGUGUUCUGUAUUAGUGUGUUCUGUGUUAAUGUGUUACUCCUCCUUCUCCCCCUAGUGGAUACUAAAGAAAUUACAGUCACAUUUGUUCUGUGGCUUCUUUUAAUGACAUCAUCAGGAAGUGCCCAGUAAUGUCUUCAGUUAGCAGCUUCUGGUAUUUCAGAACCAGUCUAAGUCCAUCUGCUCACAUUUUAAGCUAUAAACGAGCAUCGUUGUUUUACCCUACUUUUGUCAUCAUUAAAGAAGUGAAUGAUUCAUCUUCGUCCGGUGUGGUGAUUAGAAGAGGAGUUAAACUAUCUGUCAAUUUACACAAAGGGCUGUAAUAAGGACGGAA